This 30249-nucleotide long non-coding RNA is filed under the name Solanum tuberosum (potato). RNAcentral's name for it is "long non-coding RNA (STUB_LNC007803)". Lineage: Eukaryota; Viridiplantae; Streptophyta; Magnoliopsida; Solanales; Solanaceae. The record is from RNAcentral.
AAGCACAAAGGUAAAUUUGUCGGGAUCAGAUGGUAGUCUUUCUGCGUUAACGAGUACUCCUCCAUAUUCAUCGUCAGAGGCAUCAAGUACCCAUUUAUCUCGAAAAUACAAACUUGUAUGGUUUGUACCGUUGAUCAAAUUAUUUGUGUUGGAUUUUUGAAUUUAUAAACCAAACCAAACCAAUAAAACUCGGGUUUUUGAACCUCGGGUUUUUUCGGUAAAGUGCAUACAAACAUAUAAUUUACUUGUACUUCAAAUAUUUCUUUAGUCCUAUCAAAAUACAACUAUCUAAGGUGUUUCUUAAGAAAAUAACACAAAUUAUGAUAUGAUUAAUGACACUAAAAAAUCCAACAAAAAAAUAAUAAUGAAAUUGCGUAAAACAAAUAUUGCAAAUUAAUAAGUCAUAAUGAAAAUCAUCAUAAUUUAAAAAUACUAAAUCAUGCCAAAAUAAAUUUAAUAAGUAUUAGUUACAUGGCUAAAUAUUAAAGGAAAUUAAAAGUAGAUUAUGUAUUUUAAUUGUCUAAACUUAUGUAAAACUAAAGAACAAAUAUUCAAUAUUAUUGUCAUUCUUAGUGUUGAAUUGAUUUUCUUUUUGCAUUAGUAUUAAUUUGAUUUUGAUUUAUGCUUAUUACAAUUACUAACAUCUAUGGACUAUAAUCUUUAUUUUAUAGAUAGAUUACUAACACCUAUGAACUAUAAUCUUUAUUGGACCAUUAGGAAUUCUAACUUUCAAACAUGAAAUAAUAUAUUAAAAGAUAAAAACUAUGAAAAAGUAUAAGAAAUAUUUAAAAAUUAUAUCAAAGUAAAUAUUUUUACGUAUAAAAUAAAAUUUUAAAAUUAUAUAUAUAAUGCCGGGUUGGCUUGAUCUCGGGUUGGUUUUUUUUAGUUGAUCUUACAUUGUGCACAUGCAUGAAUAUAAGAUUGAAUAUGAGUAAGGCUUGAGCACGUGGAGAUAGUCCAUGUUGCAAUGGUUUUAUGUUUAUGAGUGGGGCACGUGGAGAUCGUUUGUACCGGAUAUUGUUUGAUUUUGUGAUAGUACAUUGAGAUUAUCAGCACAAGCACGUAGAGACCGUCUGUGCUGGUAUAUGGACCUUUGCGAGUCCCCCAUGGGUCCCGAUUAUCUGACCAAGAAAGCUGCUGUGUAUAUAGGAUUUUGGCCAUUGUAUUGCAUUGCAUUUCGUAUUGAUUUGGUAUUGAGUUGUUGAGAUGGUUGUGGUACUGAUUUGACUUGAUCUAAUCCAAUCUAGCCAAUAACCUGACUAUUAACUCCUGAAGCGUCGGAGCGCUGUUGGGAACCAUAUGAGGUUGGGCUGGACCUCCUACCUCAGUCUACUGCUCAAUAACAUUGUCAUGCUCAAAUACGGGCUAUGCAUGCCAGCUGGUUUAACAUAGUAGGAACGGAAAAGGGGAAAAUUAGUGAUUUAGAAAUAAUCAUUUAAUAAUGUUUGAGAGAGCAUUCUGAUCAUCAGAAAUAUUUUUAUUUUUCUUUACCACAAGAAUUGUUCAAUGGAUAUACUUAUUAAUGUUGUAGGUAGCUUUGUUGUGAGGUGGGAAAGUUUGCGUGUAAAUGCAUUUAUCCUAAGAUUGAAAAUACAGUCCGUUUCUCAUCAAAUGUUGAAAAUUUAACGGAGGAAAUGGAGACGCUUACAAAGUUAAGAGAUGAUAUCAAAGUAAAGGUGGAAAUAGCUGAGGGAGAAGGCCGCUAUAAACCAAAACCAAAUGUUCUCGAGUGGAUCAAAGAUGUUGAGAAGCUGGGAAUGAAUGUGAAACUAUGAAAGAAAGUAUUGCAGCGGCUAAGACACUUACAUAUAAGUGUUGUCCAAAUUGCAACCUCCGAUCAGAAGUCUCCACUCAAUUAGCACAGAACAUCUGAGAUCAACUUUGCAGGCAUAAAGAGGUCGGAGAAAGCUUUGGAUCAAAUUUGAAGGUAGAAAAUUACCAAUUGAAAAAAGUUGAGUACUUACCAGGAACAUCAAUAAAAGACCAGCCAGCAGCAAGGAGGACUCAAUCAAUUACUCCAAUUCUUGGAAGAUGAUAAGGUAUUGCUGUCUUUACGGGGGUCUUAUUACCCCUUGAACUUUUUUUAUCUUUAUUUCUUUGCACCUUAUAUGUUGACGUAGAGCCAAAUGUGAAAACACUUACCUCAAGCAUGAACCUUAAAAGAACGGCUUUAACCAAUAUGAAAUGGCCACGUGUUGGUCGCAAAACUGAUUUUCAAGAACUAAAAAAAAAUGCAACUUUCUUCAUCUCAUUCAUUUUUGGGUCUCAAAAUUCCACAAAAAACUCAGACAGAUCUGUACUAAUCAAGCUAAUAUUUCAAUUACUACUUGACAACAAUAUCAUCACCCAACUCAAAUAGGACCAAUAUUAUUUAGAGCUUGUUUGACAUUGCUGUUGGGAUACCAAAAAUACUUAUUUCGAGAGAAAAAUAUUUUUUUAUAUAUAAAAUAAGGUGUUUGUGCAAUCAGUAAAAGUGUUUGUAUAUUGAAGCAGAAACAGUUUUUGUGCUGUUGGGAAGAAGCUAAAAAAAAUUUGCUUCUUUAAAAAGCAGAAGCAAAAAUAAUUUUUAGCAACAAUGUCAUACAAGCUCGUAAUCUUUCAUAUAUAAGCUAAAUUGUUUAGUGUUUACACUAAAUCAUCUAUUACUAUAAGUAAAUGAACAAAUAAAUAUAUGAUCCAUUUUAAAUCUUUAUUAAAAUUGAACACAAUAUCUAACCACCUAGUUAAUCAUAUAUUAUUAUUAUUAUUAUUAUUAUUAUUAAAAGUGAGAAGGUUUUAUGUUCAAAGUUGGAUUACGAUAAUGUACUUCACUAAUUUUUUUAAAAUUAGAAAUUCUUUUACUAACUCUUAAAAUUAAAUCAAUAUUGAUAAUUUUUCAUUUCUUAAUGACUUUGAUUGUUAAAAUUUUUAGCUUCUAUCAUUAAAUACAUUCAUUUACCACACACAAUUUCUCCAUUUAUUGGAUAGAAAAUAUUAGUCAACUACACUUUGUGUUUCAUAAUCUUAUAGUUCUUAUGUAACUUUUUAUUUAUUGGUCUUUAAUUUAUUUUUUUUAUUAAUUUGUUCCUUAGUUCAUUUUUAAUUUAAAUGAUUAUUGGAGUAUUUAUGUUCUAAGAAACCUCAAUCUUCGUGUAAUCAUUAAGAAGAAGAAAAAAAAGACACUUGGGGUUUAAUAUUUUGGAGUGAAAAUUCUAAUUGGUAGAAGUAUAGUUCUAAUUUUACAAGUUACUCACUAUCCAUAAAUAAAUAAAUAAAAGUUAGAAAUUCGAAGUCUAGAUAGAAAGUGAACACUGAAAAGAAUUUUUUUUAUAUGCACAAAAAUACAGCUACGAUUACUUCAGAUAGGGUAGAAUAAUUUUUUUUUAUCAACAGGAGUUAUGUCUAUAUAAAUUUUAUAUCGUAAUAAGGGUCAAACGUGCGGACCCACACCUUUAAAAGGGGUGCACGUGCACCCUCUAACUUCGGAAAAAAUAUUUUGAGAAACUGACAGAAAUUAUGAUAUAAUUAACCGUGCACCCUUGGAAAACAUAGGAGUGCCCUUAUGCUAUUGGUAUAAGCUAGAGAACCCACCCUUGAGACCAGGGUUCAAAUCGAGCUAAAGCUAUAGCAUAGUGGUACUUGGCCUAUCCAUUGUUGAAACAAAGCCUCCUACAUUCUUCUUUCUCUAAUGAUCAUUGUUGCAUCUUUCACUUCAGGUUUGCAUCAUCGGAGUGUGGGGUGCGGGAGGGAUUGGGAAAACUACUUUGGUAAAGAAUGUGAACAAUGAGCUCGAACAGAUUGAUGUGUCAAUUAGGUGUAAACUGUGUUUUGGUGUUGUGAUAUGGGUUACAGUACCGAAACCGCCAAUAGACAUAAGAAAGGUUCAAGCACAAAUUGCCGACAGAUUAAACGUAAAGGUAGAUACCGAGGGAAGUGAAGAAAGCAAUGCCAGCAAAAUCUAUGAAAGGCUUAAGCAGGAAAAGAGUUUCCUUGUCAUACUAGAUGAUGUUUGGGAAGUUAUAGAUUUGGAUCAUGUAGGUGUGCCCCAACCCAAAGAUCACGCAGGAAGCAACGUUAUUAUAACUUGUCGUUCUUUGGAGGUUUGUAGGAAAAUGAAAACAGACACCGAUAUGAACAUUUCCACAUUGGAUGAGGAUGAAUCUUGGCAACUGUUUGUCAAAAAUGCAGGAGAGAUGUUGCCAAUCGGGUGGAUAUUGAGCCAUUGGCAAUGGAUAUUGCAAGAGAGUGUGGUGGUUUACCAUUAGCAAUCACUAUUAUUGCAACAUGUAUGAGAGGGAAGUCAAGAGUCGAGCUGUGGGAAGAUGCUCUAAAAUCACUUAGAAUGUCUGAACCUUAUGACACACAUGUAAUACAAAAGGUUUACAAGAUCAUCAAGUUGAGUCUUGAUAAUUUAGAAUCUCGGAAUAGUGAAUUAUCGUCAGAGCAAAGAAGCAAUAUGAACAAAAGGAGAGGUGACAUUCAAAGUUGUUUCUUGUAUUGUUCUUUAUAUCCAGCGGCUGUUCCAACUGAUGAUCUCAUACAUUGCUGGUGGGUAGAGGGGUUCCUUGGUGAACAUGACACAUAUGAAAAGGCUUACAACAGGGGAAUCACAAUUAUUGAGAGUCUAAAAGAUGUCUCCUUGCUAGAAGCCCAUGAGAUGGAUUGUGUGAAGAUGCAUGACGUAGUUCGUGAUGUUGCUAUAUGGAUAGAUAAUUUCGGGUUAACUGACAUAUCACAUAUCGAAAUGUCAGCUCCUCCUGUGAAGAGAAUAUCUCUCCUAAGCAAAGAAUUUCAAAGUCUACCUGAAAACUUCAGAGAAUGCCCAGAGACAACAACUUUACUGUUGGUUAGAUUUAUGACAGCUAGGAUUAGAGCAGUCUCAAGAUAAUUAUUCUAGAAUCAGUUAGAAGGUUAGAUAGUUGUUAGAGUUAGUUAGCACAGUAACUUUCCUUUAUAUAGACAUAGCAUUGUAAAGAUAUUUUCUAAGAUGCUUUCAGCUUAAUGAGAAUGAGUUUUCUCUCUUCCAUAACUCUCUCUGUAUCUUCUUCUUCUUCUUCCUGAUCCUUUUGCAUCUUCUAGAUGAUGAUUACUCCAUAAGUUUACAUUUACUAUUGCAAGACAAUGCUCUCCUUAGCGAAAUUCCCCAUGAAUUCUCUUUUGCAUUUCCAGCUCUAAGAGUUGUGAAUCUGAGUCAUACUGGUAUUAAAGCACUGCCUUGUUCCAUCAAUAUUUUAUGUCAAUUACGUGCUCUAAUACUACGAAAAUGUUUGCAAUUUUGUUGAAAGAGUUACCACCAAUUGGUAAUCUUUGCAAUUUGCAGUUGCUCGAUUGUGAUAAUACAAGGUUACAUUUUCUGCCGCAAGGAAUGGAUAAGUUGACAAAUCUGAGGCUAGUAAAUAUGCCUUUAGAUGAUUUGAAGGAGAGCAUCGGUCCAGGUUUUUUCCUCGAGUUGCAUAGGAUUGAAAUGUUAAAGAUGGAUGGCAGAAAGCAUCAUAGUGUGGCUGUUGUUGGAGCAACGCCUUUUGAUGAGAUAUCGUCUCUACACAAUCUGACUUCUCUUUUUAUUCGAUUGGAUAGCUCAUCAAUUUUCAAUCGAGACUACACCUGGAUGUCUAGAUUGAAAAGUUUUCACAUUCAGAUUGGGGAAACUUCAGCGGAUGUACGAUUCAACAAGUCAACAAAGAGGAUAAGUGUCUCCCAUUGUGAAACUUUCAGUAAUGGAGAGCUCUCAGGCAUGUUACAGUUUGCUUCAGAUUUGUACUUGGCAAAAUGCGGGGGUCUCAGGAAGCUGAUUGUGAACAAGAAGAGUUUCAAUGGAUUAAAAAAACUCUACAUCGUCAAAUGUUGGUGUGAUUUCGGACCAUUGAAAGAAGGAAGUAGACAGUUUGAUCCUCUGCCAAAUCUUGAACAUCUCAGGCUCACUUCUGUAGAUCAUUUAAAGAGUGUUUCUGAUUUCAGUCAAUUUUUGGGUCUAAGAUUUUCUGAAUUACGCCAACUGGAUAUAUCCCAUUGUGAUAAUUUAACAUGUGUUUUUAAUGCUUUUUCUGUAACCAAGCACUUGGAAGAAAUUACAGUUAAGCGUUGUGAUCGGUUGGUAGAGUUAUUAGUGCAAUGCGGACCUAAUCAGAGGACACCAAGAGUCCGAAAGUUGUGGUUGAAUCAUCUAUUGAGAUUAGAAAUGUUUGGGGAGCCACAGAGUAUGUGGGAACAUCUUGAGGUGAUCGGAUGCUAUGAUAUAAGGAAGUUGCCUCAUUCAGGAAUGUUUUUCGUCUGGAAUGAGUCUGUAUCGAUGGGAUAAAGUUUAUUCCCGGACCAACGACACUAGGGGUGGACUUUCUUGGCGUGGAUAUUAUACUAACUGGAACAACAAUAUUGAGGACUGAGUCUUCAUCUUGAUCUCUGGUUCCGAUGUUUUGAUUGUACACUGAGUUGUUUCUUGUUUCAGUUGCGUUGUGUGAUAAUCUUGUUAAUUGUAAUAAACUGUUAUUGCUUUUGUACGUGUUGAAACAUUCAAAAUUUAUCUCAUGUUUUGUUCUCAUGACAAAAGAAGGAAAACUGAGAGAGAGAGAGAGAGAGAGGUUUUCUCGUGUUGUAAAAUGGUCCAUGGUAAACAACUGAAAACGUUGCUUGGAUACUUAUGGUUCGUGCUCUUAUAAGAUUUCUAAUAUAGCUCUUCCUAUCGAUAAAAAUGUGUUGUAAGAUAUUUACUUCAGUCAAAAGUACGUGACCAAAUGGUUGUGGUCGCAAUACCUCACCAGAUGGUAUAUUUUUCAUAGGCUGUCGUAGAAUAUUUCUCUUGCACGACAAGCACCCUAAAGCAGCAAAUUAAUUAGGCUAAUGUAAUAUGUGUUGGGUUUGUGUUCUUAAAAGAUUAAGCUUCAAAGAUUUAGAGGAAAAGUUGUCAUUAUGGGUGUGUUUGACUGUUUGGUAUGAAGGAAAACAUUUUUCGGAAAAUGUUUUCCAAUUUUUUCAUAUUUGGUUGGGUUAAAAUGUUUUGAAAAAAUGUUUUCCAAAUCAACUCAUUUUUCUCAAAAUUUAAGGAAAAAUGACUUCCCUUCAAAACUUAAGGAAAACAUUUUCCAAACUUCUCUUCCAACUUCAAAUUACAAUUACUUUUUGUUGAAAAAAUCAAUUUAUUUGUCCCUACCCUCAAACCAGCCCCCAACCACCCCCCCUCCCCAAAAAUAAUAAUUUUAAAGCUUGUUUUUAGAUUCAAUUUUUUUAUCCCACCUUCCACCCUACCCCCACCCCCUCCCAAAAAAAUAUUAAAAAUUGUUUUUAAANNNNNNNNNNNNNNNNNNNNNNNNNNNNNNNNNNNNNNNNNNNNNNNNNNNNNNNNNNNNNNNNNNNNNNNNNNNNNNNNNNNNNNNNNNNNNNNNNNNNNNNNNNNNNNNNNNNNNNNNNNNNNNNNNNNNNNNNNNNNNNNNNNNNNNNNNNNNNNNNNNNNNNNNNNNNNNNNNNNNNNNNNNNNNNNNNNNNNNNNNNNNNNNNNNNNNNNNNNNNNNNNNNNNNNNNNNNNNNNNNNNNNNNNNNNNNNNNNNNNNNNNNNNNNNNNNNNNNNNNNNNNNNNNNNNNNNNNNNNNNNNNNNNNNNNNNNNNNNNNNNNNNNNNNNNNNNNNNNNNNNNNNNNNNNNNNNNNNNNNNNNNNNNNNNNNNNNNNNNNNNNNNNNNNNNNNNNNNNNNNNNNNNNNNNNNNNNNNNNNNNNNNNNNNNNNNNNNNNNNNNNNNNNNNNNNNNNNNNNNNNNNNNNNNNNNNNNNNNNNNNNNNNNNNNNNNNNNNNNNNNNNNNNNNNNNNNNNNNNNNNNNNNNNNNNNNNNNNNNNNNNNNNNNNNNNNNNNNNNNNNNNNNNNNNNNNNNNNNNNNNNNNNNNNNNNNNNNNNNNNNNNNNNNNNNNNNNNNNNNNNNNNNNNNNNNNNNNNNNNNNNNNNNNNNNNNNNNNNNNNNNNNNNNNNNNNUUUUUAAAAACUAUUUUCAAUUUCAAAAAUUAUUUUCUACUCUAGUUAAAAUAAAAGAUACUUCUCAAAAAUAUUUUUCAUUCAUAAAUCAAACACUAAAAAUCUUUUCCGAAAAAUAUUUUCUACUCACCAACCAAACAUGAAAAAAUAAGUCAAAAAUCAACUUGUUUUCCAGGAAAACAUUUUCCUUCAUACCAAACACACCCUAUAUUUAACUGUAACACCAACACACAGGCAAAUUAUGAACCAUCAAAACUAGUCACUUCAUGUAUCCAUGCUUCAACAACCUCAACUUUCUAAAAUGCCAAACUCUUCUAUUUCAAUUCGUUUGCCUUGUUUUGACUUGACACAAAGUUUAAUUAAGCAAGCAAAUUAGUAAAAUAAAACAAAGCACUUUAGACUUUCACAAUUUGUUGUAUUGAAUAGAUGAUGGUUGUUGGCAAAUAGAGAAGCUCUUUGAGACAUCAAAAGACAACUUAUAAAUUGUGAAAACUGAACGAGUCCAAAUCGUUGACAUUUACCUACAGCUGUGAAGUUGAUCAUGUACUUAAUUAUUUUAAAUCAUGUUGCCUAGUUUUAUUAUUAUGUUAAUUAUUCGUUGACUUUUACCAAUAAUUUUAUUUACUUUCUCUGCCCUUAAACAAACAAGAAACAAUCAGCUUAGUUUCAUUUGCUAAUCUUUGAGAAUUUCUCUAUCAGAAACAUUUUCUUUACCAAUGGAAAUACUUGUUAAUGUUGUGGGUGGCUUUGUUGUUGAGGUCGGAAAGUUUGUACGUAAAUGCAUUUAUCCUAAGAUUGAAAAUAUUGUCCGUUUCUCGUCAAAAAUUGAAAAUAUAAGGCAGGAAAUGGAGAAGAUAACAAAGUUAAGAGAUGAUAUCAAAGGAAAGGUGGAAAAAGAUGAGGGAGAAGGCUAUAAACCAAAACCAGAUGUUAUCAAGUGAAUCGAGGAUGUUAGCGAGCUGGAGAAUGAAUGGGAAACUAUGCAAGAAAACAUUGCAACGGCUAAGACACUUACAUAUAGGUGUUGUCCCAAUUGCAGCCUCCGCUCUGAAGUCUGGACUCAAGCACAGAAUAGUAUCCAAGUUAAACUUUGCAGUCUUAAAAAUGACGGAGAAAGCUUUGGAUCCAAUUUGAUGGAAGAAAAUUACCGUAUGGAAAAAGUUGAGCACUUACCAGGACCAUCAAUAAAAGACCAGCCAGCCGCAAGAAGGAAUCUCCACAAAAUCCUCCAACACUUGGAAAACGAUGAGGUAUUACAAGAACUAAAUUAAGAUUAGUAAUCUUAAAUUGUUUAGAAUUUGGUAGCUGAUAAGGAGUGUCUCUCGAAUUUCGAUCAUAGGAGUAAUUGUGCCUUUUUCCUAAAUGAAAGUGUAAAAUUGCUUUUUAAUAGAAGCAAAACCAAUACUUCUGCUACUUGUUAGAGUUUUAUAUUAUUUUUUUGGAAACAUCUUUUUGGCUGGAAAAUUUGGCCAAGAAUGAUAUUUUAUCAGAUUGACAAUUUGUCUACUUAUAUUUUUUAUAAUAGAUAAAUCAUGUAUUAUGUGAAAUUAGAAUUAACAAGUUUUGUUAGACAUACAUAAAUAAUAAAAUGAAAUAUAAAUUAGAAGAAAUCUCCUAUAUAAUUUAAUCUGUUAGAAGUGGUUAUGAUUUAAAACUCAAGUCAAACACUUUCACCUUUACUGAAUAAAUUUUUAUCUCAUGUUCAAUUUCUAAAUUUAUUUUUUAAUUCAAAUUCAAAAAGUAAUUUUCAGUAUGAAUCAAAAAUAAAAAGUACGAUCAUUAAUUCAUUGUAUGAUUAUUUUGUGUGUGUGUGUGUAACUUGAGUACAUCAUACUUAAUUAUACUCUAAGCUAUAAUAUUUUUAAAAAUGUUUUUAAAAUUAUGUUUUAAUAUUCAUUAGUGUGGCUUACUCACAUAAAAUUAUAUUGCUUUAUCUUUUAAAUUAUUUAUUUCCUUUUUUUUUUUUAUCUUAAGAAACACUCAAGAAGGAAUGUAGAAAUAACACUUGUUGUUGGUAUAAGAUAAAGGAUACACAAAAUCAUAUAAAAUUUAAAAUUUGGCCACAUAAAUCAUAAAAAUAUCAAAUUUAUACUUGAUAUUUGGAGAUAACUACACUAUUUUCCCGAGAAGAAUGAGGAAACUAAUUUUUUAAUUUAUUUCCCUCCAUUUUUUGAGAGAAUUCUAGCCAACAUAAUAUUAUAUAUAUAUAUAUAUACCAUUAAUCAGAUGAUUUUUAUUAAGGGAGAUUUAAAUAUAGAUAUACGUAUUUCUUUAAAUUUUAGCAUGAUAAUUACAUAUAUAUAUUUAUUCAAAUAUGGAUAUAUCAUAUAUGUAUUUCUUUAAAUUUAUUUUGCUUGAUAUGCUAAAUUAUAUUUAAAUCAUUGUAUUAAUAUUAUGUCAAUAUUAAUUUAUUUUUCUAUUCAUCUAGGUAUACUAUUGAUUGAAAAUUUGAAUAUGUACAUUUUAAUUUAAUAAAAAAAAUUUAAUUAAAAAUAUUUUAUAAUAGAUAUUUAAAAUAAAUUUUCUCUAUAAGAUAAUAUUAUGUAUAUUUUUUUCCUAUUAUAAAUAAGUGGAAAUUAAUCUUUUAAUUUGACAAUUGCUGAAACAAAGCCUCCUAGAAUCCUUCUUUCUCUAAUUUCUUGUAUAUUACCAACCAUUGUUGCAUGUUUCACUUGUGGGUUAAUUAUUCUUUUGGGUAUGUCAGGUUGGCAUCAUCGGAGUGUGGGGUGCAGGAGGAAUUGGGAAAACUACUUUGGUGAAGAAUUUGAACAAUGAGCUUAAACAGAUUGACGUGUCAAUUAGGUCUAAACUGUCUUUUGGUGUUGUGAUAUGGGUUACAGUACCCAAACCGCCAAUAGACAUAAGAAAGGUUCAAGCACAAAUUGCCGACAGAUUAAACGUAAAGGUAGAUACCGAGGGAAGUGAAGAAAGCAAUGCCAGCAAAAUCUAUGAAAGGCUUAAGCAGGAAAAGAGUUUCCUUGUCAUACUAGAUGAUGUUUGGGAAGCUAUAGAUUUGGAUAAGGUAGGUGUGCCCCAACCAAAAGAUCACGCAGGAAGCAAGGUUAUUAUAACUUCUCGUUUUUUGGAUGUUUGUAACCAAAUGAAAAUUGACACCGAAAUGAAGGUUUACACAUUGAAGGAGAAUGAAUCUUGGGCUCUGUUUAUCAAAAAUGUGGGAGAUAUUGCCAAUCGGAAGGAUAUUCAGCCAUUGGCAAUGGAAAUUGCAAGAGAGUGUGGUGGUUUACCUUUAGCAAUCACUGUUAUUGGAGCAUCUCUAAGAGGGAAGAACAUGGCCGAGCAAUGGGUAACAAAGAAGUAGAAAAAAAGGUUUACAACGUCAUCAAGUGGAGUUUUGAUUCUGUAGAAUCUCAGGAUGAUAUUGAAUUAUCCUCAGAGCAUGAGAACAAAAAGAGAGGUGACAUUCGAAGUUGUUUCUUGUAUUGCUCCUUAUAUCCAGCGUCUAUUCCAACAAAUGAUCUCAUACAUUGCUGGUGGGCAGAGGGGUUCCUUGGUGAACAUGACACAUAUGAAAAAGCUUACAACAGGGGAAUCACAAUUAUUGAGGAACUAAAAAAUGUCUGCUUACUAGAAGAAACCCAUUUGAAGGAUUAUGUGAAGAUGCAUGAUGUGGUUCGUGAUGUUGCUAAAUGGAUAUAUAAUACCUUUGGGGAUGAACACAGUUCUGUUAUUCAAGCUGGAAUUGAGUUAAUUAAGAUUUCAAAUGUGGAAGUAGUGUCAGCUUCUAUCAAGAGAUUAUCUUUCAUAACCCAAGGAAUUCAAUAUCUACCUGAUAACUUCACGGAAUGCCCAAAGACAACAUCUUUACUUUUGCAACGCAAUGAAUCCCUUGUGAAAAUUCCCGAUAAAUUCUUUUGUCAUUUCCAGUUCUAAGAGUUCUGAACCUGAGUUAUACUGGUAUUAGAGCACUGCCUUGUUCCAUCAACGAGUUACGUCAACUACAUGCUCUAAUACUACAAAAUUGCCGCAUGUUGAAAGAGUUACCAUCUAUUGGUAAUCUUUGCAAUUUGCAAUUGCUUGAUUGUGAUAGUACAAGGUUAUGUUGUCUGCCGGAAGGAAUGGACAAGUUGACAAAUCUGAGGCUAUUAAAUAUGACUUUAGGUGGGUUGACGGAGAGCAUCGACCUGGGGGUUCUCCACGAGUUGCAAAGGCUUGAAACGUUACAUCUAACCAUAAGCUGUAGAUAUAUAGAUGAUGUUGGAGCAACUUAUUUUGAUGAGAUAUCACAUCUACCCAAUCUGACAUCACUUUUUAUUUACUUGGAUAUCUCAUCAAUUUCAAUUUUGAAAAGUGACCAGUACACCUGGAUGAAAAGAUUGAAAGCAUUACACAUUACAGUUGGGAAUACUACAACUCAUUAUGAGGUACCAUUCAACAAGUCAACAAAGGUGAUAUGCCUCUCAGGUUUUGACAUUUUCAAUAACAAAGUCUGGCUCUCAAGCAUGUUGCAGUUUGCUUCAUAUUUGUACUUGGAAGAAUGCAUGGGUCUCACGGAGUUCAUUCGGAACAACAGUUUUGAUGGAUUAAAAUCACUAUACAUAAACAAAUGCUCUUGUGAUUUUGGACCAUCGAUAGAAGGAAGUGGACAGUUUGAUGAUCCUUUGCCAAAUCUGGAGCAACUCAUACUCUUUUCUGUAUAUAAUUUAAAGAGUGUUUCUGAUUUCGGUCAUUGUCUGGGUCUAAGAUUUUCUAAAUUACGAAAACUGGUUGUGUUCAGUUGUCAUAAUUUAACAUGUCUUUUUAAUGUUGGUGGAGCUUUUUCUGUACCCAGGCACUUGGAAGAAAUUUCACUUUCCUAUUGUAAUUCUAAGCUGACAGAGUUACUGGCACAAUUCAGCUCAAGUCAGACGACACUCGUUAGCUCAGAAAUUCCAAGAGUCCGAAAGUUACACUUGCAUUAUUUACAGGCAUUAAGAACGUUUGGGGAGCCAGAGAGUAUGUGGGAACACCUGGAGGAACUUGAGGUGAGGAAUUGCAAUGAAAUAAGGAAGCUGCCUCUCUCUAUUCAAACCUCCAACAAAAUCAAAGAAAUAGGAGGCCAAUCAGAAUGGAGGAACCGCCUGGAGUGGGAUGAAGAAAAAUACAAGUCAAAUUUAGAGCAUUGUUUCAAGGAAUACGCCGAAUGGUGGAAGAUUGCUAUGAAUUAAGGAAGUUGCCUCUCUCUAUUCAAACCUCCAACAACAUCAAACUAAUAACAGGAUCAUCAAGAUGGUGGAGACAACUGGAGUGGGAUGACAACAACUACAAGUCAAAUUUACAGCAUUGUUUCAAGGAAUACCUCUCUUUUUUUGGGUAAGAUGGGUUAGCAACUUUUUUCCCUUUCCUUAAUUAAUAUUUUAGAAAAUAAAUUGUAUCCUAAUAUAAUUAAUUUAUUUUUUUGCAAUGGAAUAAGGAACUUGCCUCUCUCUAUUCAAAUCUCCAACAACAUCGAACUAAUAAGCGGAGAAUCAGAAUGGUGGAGCCGCCUGUAGUGGGAUGACGACAACUACAAGUCAAAUUUAGAGCAUUGUUUCACUGACAUAUAUAUAAAAGUAAAAGUAUGAAGGCCCAUGGUAGCUGAAAUUGGACGUGUGAGUUUAUUUUAUUAUGAGAGAACAUAAUAUUUCAGAUUUGACUUCUAGGAUUGGGGUGGACUUUUUUAUUUGAUUGUCAUCAAGCCAAAAAUAAAUAUAGCAAUAUAAAUGUCAUUAGAUUCAUAUUCUUAUGAGAAGUAUGUAUAAUUUGAAAUAGGGGUGUACAUGACUGGGUUGGUUCGAAUUUUUCAAAUAUCAAACCAAACCAUUUGUGUCGUAAUUUUGAAUUUAUAAACCAAACCAAAUCAAUAAAACUCGGAUUUUUGAACCUCGGGUUUUUUCGGGUUUUUCUGGUAAAGUGUUCAUACAAACAUAUAAUUUACUUUUACUUCAAACAUUUCUUUAGUUCUACCAAAAUACAACUAUCUAAGGUGUUUCUUAAGAAAAUAACACAAAAUAUGAUGUGAUUAAUGACACUAAAAAAACCCAACAAAAAUAUAAUAAUGAAAUCGUGUAAAACAAAUAUUACAUUAAAAUUAGAUUAUGUAUUUUAAUUGUCUAAACCUAUUCUAAACUAAAGAACAAAUAUUCAAUAUUAUUGUCAUUCUUAGUGUUGAAUUGAUUUUAUUUUUGCAUUAGUAUUAAUUUGAUUUUGAUUUAAGCUUUAUUAUAACUAGUAUACGUGCCCGCGUGUUGCACGGAUAAUUUAAAAUGUGAUAAUUUUAUACUUAAAUAUAACUAAUAAAAUGUAUUAUGCACUUAAUAAUACCAAUAACUUAAAAUAACAAUGACAAUGAUAAUUUAAAAUGUGAUAAUUUUAUACUUAAAUAUAACUAAUAAAAUGUAUUAUGCACUUAAUAAUACCAAUAACUUAAAAUUACAAUGACAAAUAAUUUUAUCCUAAAAAUGACACGUGGUUUUUUGUGAUGCAUGUAGAUUUUUAAUUAAUAAUUAAUAUUUAAUUUUUUUAUUUUAAUGAUAGUAUAUUAGUAUAAUAUUCUUAAAAAAACACAAAUUUAAUUGACAAAUCUUUUUAUUUAAACCUCCCAACUUUCACUCAGAAAACUGAAAAAAAAAACAAAAAUAUGAAUGUCAUUCCUGACGAAAUCGAUGCAAAUUAUUAUUUUUUGUAACAACUUCAACUAUUUCAGAGAUGCUAACGGAUCAUAAUUAGAGGCAUUAUACUUAUCUUAUUCAGAUAUUCAACUUAAAUAAAAUAUUCAUUAUCCUUUAUCUUUCUAAUAUACCAAAUAUCAAAUGCAUCAAAACUUACAUUUAUUUUUCUAAUUCUCUAAAAAAUUCACCACGAUACAUAAACUUAAAGGAUGUUUUUACUUUCAUGGGCCAUUUACUCCUAUUUUUUCUUUAUCUCAAUAUCGAGCAAAAAUCUGACGGUAUAAUAUAAUUAUUAAAAGUCGAUAAAAAAUAUAGAUACAAAAAAAUAUAUAGGAGGAUAAGAAGAGAUUCGUCUUAUUUUUUAAAAUGUGGGAAGAUUUUUUUUUUUAAAAAAAAGGGUAAAGUUAUCUUCUUCUUUUUUUUGUUGUUUUAAAAAUGAAAAUAUUUUCAGAUUUAAAAAGAUUUUCAGAUUUAAAAUAUUUUAAAUUUCAGAUUGUAAAUUAACUUUGUUAAUUGAAUAUGAGUUAUGUUUUAAAAAACUCCAUCGUGCAUAAGUAUUCUUCUCCUUUAAACAUAUUUUAAGAUUUAAAUUGUUUUUAAUUUUUAAUUUCAGAUUUUAAAUUAAUUUUGUUGAUUACUUAGUUAAUAUUAUUUUUUGUUCCUUUUCUGUUUUUAAUUUAAGUAUUUCCUUACUAAAUUAUUUUAUAUAAAUAUUUCUCCUAUUAUGUAUUAAAUUUUUUCCUUUCCUGACAUAGAAUUUAUGGCCCUAACAUUAACAUCCUUGUUUAUCUUCUUCAUUGCUAAUAACACCCUAUUUUCAAUUCACUGAUAACCAUCCGAAACAUAACAUUUUAGAAUUUCAAAAUAUUUGUAAUAUAAAAAGUAAGUUUUUCGUGAAAAGAAUUCUUUCAAAGAAGCAUAACUUAUCAUCAGACCAAUAAUUGUACCAGUAUUGUAUUAUUUGAUUGGAUAUUGACAUAUAUAGAAAAUCUCUUUCACUAAUGGAGGAAUGAUCCCUCCUUGAAUGUGUCUUAAUUUGAUAUUUUAGAGGACAAUCAAAUUGGUGGAGUAAAUUGGAGUGGGAUGACGACAACUACAAGUCAAAUUUAGAGCAUUGUUUCACUGACAUACUAAGGUGUGGACGCUCAUUUUAGCUAAACUUCAAAAGUGUGAGUUUAUUUUAUUAUGAGUGAACAUAAUAUUUCAGAAUUGACUUCUAGGGUUGGGGUGGACUUUUUUAUUUGAUUGCCGCCAAGCCAAAAAUAAACAUAGCAAUAUAAAUGUCAUUAGAUUCAUAUUCUUAUGAGAAGUAUGUAUUAUUUGAAUAAAUUUUAUUAUUCAGAAGCAUCGUGGAAGGGCAAAUUCACAAUUUGGCAUUUGGGCUUCUGUUUGAGGCAACUAAUUAAAGAUGGGAAAAUUUUCAAAUGGACAAUAUUUUGACAUUUAAUAUGAUUUCUUAGCCAUACUUUCAAUAUUUAUUUAAAAUGUCAAUAUUUUAAUUUGUUAUAUAUCUGAUUUAUAUAUUUUCUUAUUUGUUUGAUUUGUAGAAUUCAAUUAUUUAAUAACAUAAAGGAGAGAAUCAGGGAGAUAAUAUUUUUUAAAAAUUGAACAUAUAACUUAAAAUUUUCAUCAGUUACAAUUUCAACGAAAUCAACUUUCUUUUUUAUUAUGUUUUCAUCGUAAUUGUAUACAAAAAAAUUUACAUUUUAUGUGCCAACUUUACCAUUCAAAUUAAAAUUGGUAUUUUACUUUCAUAGUGAAAACUACAAAUUGUAUCCCAGUGAUCAAAAUUAUAUUACAUGAUUGCCAAAUAUAUUUUUCUUUAUUUGUAUUAAAAAAAUAUUAUUGAUUGUAUCACAAUAUAAUAUAAUCAUUACAUAUGAAUAUGAUUUAUGAAAGGAUACAAAAUUAUGGGGAAAAAAUAGCAUAUAUAGUGGAAAUAAUACAGUAUGUUGAGAAAGAAUACAAUAUUCUAAAAAUAUAUAUAUAAAUUGACGAGCUAAUGGUCAAAUGACCUCUCAACCUAUUACCGGAUUUUCAACUACACACCUAUUCUUCGUGGGAGUCCUAUUACCCUCUAAACUACUUUAAAAUGGAAUAAAUAACCCCUUAAGUGCUGAGUUGGCAUAGAGAAUGUAUGUCACUCUCUCAAUGAGUUGCCUAUUUUUUUCUUAAUUUCUGUUUUUUUUUUCUACUUUUCUUUUUCUUUCUCCUUUUUUCUUCUUAUUUAUCUAUAUAACUAUAUCUUUUUCGCCAUUAUCAUUGUUUAAGUUUUUUCAAUAGAUGUUUGGUAUAAAAAUUAUCAACAACUAAUGCAUUUUAUGAAUAAAUAAUUUUUCAAUAGACUUAUUUAGAACAUAUCUAACAAUUUAAAUUUAUUUUUAAAAAACAUACACAUUAAUUAAUAUUUUUUUAAAAGUCAUGGACUCAAGAGUAACAAAAUCAAAGUGAAGUAAUUGUAUAUUUAAAAAAUAUCUUCAAACUUAUUAAAAGAAACUAAAACAAAACAAUUUCUUCUACAUUUUUAAAGAAGGAUCCUACAUGUCCUCCUAAAACCCAUGAAGAAUGAAAAUCAAAAACUCAAAUUAUAAAUUAAUCAUGAAAAUUUUAGAGAGAGAAAGAAUAAAGAAUGGGGAAGAGAAAAGGUGACUUGAAUUUUCGUUUUUAUAAAUUUUUAGAGAUAUAGAAAUUUAUUGAGAUAAAAAAUGGUGUUUAUUAUAGUUAGGGUUGAAAAAAUGAUUGGGGAAGGAGUACUUUAAAAAAAAAAAAAUUAAAUGGUGAAAUACACGUGUCAAGUGCGUGUUUUCAUCACAAGACACAUACCUGGUAAAGAUAUUUCAGGGAGAAAAUAAUUCCACUUUAAAAUAGCUCAGAGGGGUAAUAGAACUCCCGUGAAGUAUAAGUGUGUAGUUAAAAAUUCGAUCAUUUGGCAAUUUUCUCUAAAUUGACUAUGAAAGAAAUAGAGAUACAAUAUUCUGGAAAAAAAUAACAUACAUAGUGAAAAUAAUAUUGUUUUACUCAAAAAAAUAAAAAUAAUUAGGAGGUGGUUUUUAGAAAAAUCGACUAAACUUAUGACUUAAGGGAAAUCGAAUUUCCAAAAGAACAGAGUCACCACUAAAUUUUUUAGUAAAAAGUAAGAAAAAACUUAAGGUUUUCAAAAGAUUUAAACAGAUAAAAUCAAUUUCAAAUAAAAAGAAUUCGAAUUCAAUGUACAUUCCGAGAGGUGUUAGGCCCUCGGUUGACCGGCGAUUUAACUAAAAUGAUUUUGACUAAUUUUUUUAAAAUUUAACUAAGUAUAAAAAAGAAGAUAAUUUUAAGUUGUUACUUUUAAGGGAAAGAUGACAUUAUUCUUAUUAAGAAAAAAUAAAUUAAAUGUAACUAAAUAUAUAAAAAUAAGUAAAUAGUAGAUGCUUCAAAAAAUAAGAAAGGGUAUCUUGGGGAACUUGAUUAAAUUUAACCAUAAAAAAAGCAAAUAAAGUUAGUUAAUCGAUAACAUAAAUAAUAAUAAAGAAAGAAGGAACAAUUGGACUUGGGUCUUUUGCCCAAAUCCAAAUGAAUUGGGCUAUGGCCCACCUGUCCUGACUCUAAAGAAUCUGGUAUGCUUUAGAUGUAUACUGCUGUAUAGUGGCUGUAUCUCGGCCCAUUUUGUGUAUAUGGGCUGUAUACCAAACGUAUACAGCCUACUUCAAACUCCAGCACCUGUAUCCUGCACCUGUAUUUCAAUUUUUGGACCUAUAUAUCAAUAUUCUCCAUGUAUACUAGUGUAUACUGAUGUAUACAAGUGUAUACUACUGUAUACAGCCCCUUUUCGGGAUUUUCGAGACUGUUAUUUUGCUUCCGAGACCUGUACGCCAGCUUCCUUUUCACCGCAAAGAUGAGGAUGACUCGAAAGACUAAAAAAUACGCAAGGGUGGAGUCCGAAUAGACUCGAGUUGAUGUCAUAUGUAACAAAAGAAAGGGAGAAAAUUAGUAGAAUAACCUGAAAAUAAAAGAAGAAACAAUUGAGCACCAUUUACAACAAAAUAUUGAACUUAACUUAAAUGAUCCUUAACUAACCAACUAGGAGAUAGAAACUACAAAUAUGAUCAAUUUUGAAAAGCUACAAACAAAUGAAAACAAGUCACAUAACUCCUUGAGGACCCACAAAUGACAAGUUAAUAAGAAAGAUAAUCACACUUAAAGAAUUCAUCAAAUUCAAUUAUCAAAGGACAUGCUACAGGGAAUACUAUGCUACUGUUUUCAGAUUUUACAAAGUUACUCUUUCUACUAAAAGAGAUGCCACAACUACUCUUCUCAAAGAAAAUGAAACUCUAGAUAUUGUAUUAAAUCAUGAUCAUUUUUAUCAUUUUUGGAAUAAAAUCUAAACCCAUUGUAUUGCAUCGGUUUACGAAAAUUGAGGAAAGGUUGUAUUCAUAUCCAAGUAAACAAAGGAACGGUAUUACUCCUAAUGGUUACUGAGGCAAACUAUGAGAAAAUCAUGAUAAAUGAAUGACUAUACAUUCAUACUUCAUAUAUUCACAAGCUACCGGAAUACUGAAAAAUUAAUGAGCACAAAUGCUAGGAUUGAUAAGAGUUCAUACGACCAAAUAACAUAAACCGAAACUCAAAGCAAUUUUUAUUACAUUAGCUAAAAUUUGUUUAAAAGAUACCAAGCAAAAGGCUAAAGCUAAACAAUACACAACAAGGACUAAAGCCAAACCGUCCCCAACAAAACAUGUCGAAACACCCAGAUUAUGAUUUUCAUGCUUGAGCUCAAUCAAAGAACCUAAUGGGUUAUCCAAAAGCUGGACCUAGAUUUUAAAAUAGAAGCUGUCAUGUUGAACAUGGACGGGCAGAACCUUAUACGAGCAUGAAAAUUGGACGAAACUAUGGAUCCACGACACACCUCAAUCUGAACUCUUUGCAGCGAACAACCAGUAACUCAAAUUGACAAUAGUAUGAACAAGAACUAUAGCGUACUUGAUCAACACAACUAUCCAACAGAAUGUUCAAGCAAGGUAAUAAAAAAUAUUGGCCAGCCGGCCCAAAGUAAAAACUCGACUCAAGAGUCCAACAACUUCAUUUAGUAUCAAGAUAAAAUCACAACGAGCAAUCGAUUCAAACAACCCAUAACGAUCCAAUUAUAAGGUAAGAAACUAAGCCACGAAAUAAGAAUGGAAACAAAUUACCUUCUUCAGAGCAGCGAAUGGGACGAAUCAGCUUGAAGGAGCUUUCCAACCACCACACGAGCAGGGGCGGACCCACGUUGGUUCCAGGGGGUUCACCCGAACCCCCUCGGCAAAAAAUUACACUAUAUAUAUAAGGUAAUUUUCUGUAUUUAUGUGAAUAUAUAUAUAUAUUUUGAACCCCCUCAAUGACAAGGAGAAAGAGAUAGCCUAGUGGCAUUUUCCCUGAAAAUUAAGCCUCAUGUUGAGGGUUCGAAUCCCUGCAUUAGCGUUUUAUUUUUUUCUUUAUCAGUUUCAGUUUUUUUUUUUUUUUUUUUUUUAAGGUUUCAGUUCCGUUUUCACGUUUUUUUUAGUUUUUUAUUUUAUAAAACAUGCUAAAAGUGUGGUUUUAAACCCAAAAAAAUUCAAAGGUCCACCACUAAAACUAAAUACUACUACUUUCUUGAAAUUUUGUUUUGUUGGCUUAUAUAUACACAUUUAUACUUUUAUUUUUCAAACCCCUUGAACGAAAAUUCUGGGUCCGCCACUGCACACGAGGGAUUCCAGUGGAAAUCCAAGUUCCGAAACAGCAAACUAGCUAUAAAUCCAAUCUCCAAAAACCCUCUCUAACACUUGACUGUAAAUGGCUAUUUAUAGGGAAGAUUGGGCAGAUUUAGAGGGGAAAACGGGAGGGAUUUUUGGAAUUUGAAAUUCGAAAUUCAAAUUCUCUUAUGAGAUAAGGUUGCCAGCUCAAUUGUACCAAUUCAAACGGUAAGAAAAUCGCAGCCGUUUCAUCUAGAGAGGAAGGAUGAACGAGCUACAAGAUUGUAACACCUGGAAAAAUCGAGUACAAGCGGAUAAGGGAGAGAGAGAGAGAGGACUACACGCACUGCUCGCUGGACUCGGACACGCUGGAUUUCUGAUUUCUGCUGGAGUUUGCGUGAAGAAGAAGAAGCGUUGUACCGGGUCGUCUGGUUUUGUUCUGUACGCGUCUGGUUGUAUUGAACUGAUGGGUUUUUGGUAUUGAUUUGGGUUGCUGAAUGUAUUGUUAAUUUUUGGGCUGAACUGAUUUAAGUGAAAGGCCCAAGUCUUGCAAAUUGAGUUGGUGAGGAAAUAAAUCGCUAAAAUUGCAAUAAAGGGUUAGGCAAAUGAAAUACAAUCUAGCCAAAUUGAAUUCUUUUAGUUAAUUCGGCUAAGUAAUUAAAUAAGAUGAAUUAAUAUAAUUAACUAACGAGCUUCUUAAUCUCAACAAAAUAAAAUAAUUAACUCAAUUAUAAACUAAUAACUCGAAAUUAUAACUAUAACUUAAAGUAAAUUAAUAAAAUAUUUAACAAAAAUGUAAAAUCUUUUGUGAUGAUUUUCAAACAUUUAUAAAAUAACGUGAUUGUAAAAAUAUACAUAUUUAUUAUUUAAAAUGACAAAAUUACUUUUUUAAAAAAUAACUUGGAAGUAUUUUGAAUUUCCUGAAACUCAUUAAUUCAAAAUUAUAACCAUCACUAAUAAAAUAUAAAAUCUUUUUGAGACGAUUUUUGAAUAUUCAUGAAAUACAUUAAUUAUAUAUAUAAUUAUAUAAAACAUAUAUAUUAUUUAAAAAUUAUUUAAAAAAUGACGAAACUAUUUAAGAUAACUUGCAAACUAUAUUUAUUUAUUUUCUUGAAAUUUUUAUAAAACUAAAAUUUUUAAAUCAUUUGAAAAUUGGAGAAGCUCAAUGAUUAAUUUAUAUUGUGGAGGGUCAAAAUUGGGUGUCAACAAAUACAAAUUGUUGAGGAAGGAUACAAUAUUCUUAAAAAAAAUACAAAUUGGCUGUGAAAAAAUAGGAUACAUCUAUGGUUAAGAAAUAUAAAUCAAUUUGACUUACCUAUUUGAAUGACUACAAACUAAAGAAGAAAUACAAUGUUCUUAAUAAAAAUACAAAUGUUGAGUAAAAGAAAAACAAUUGAUAAACAAAAAUUAAUAUGAAUACAAUCAUGCUAUGAAUACAAUUCAAAUUUCUUCUCUCCCUUUGUCUUUCUUCUUCUUCUUUGUCUGCUAUGUUCCUCCUUUUUCUGAUUUUUUUUCAUCAAAACCAAAUCCAAAUUCGUAUUCACUUGUGCAUAUAUUAGUAACCCUAUAAGUAAAAUUCGAAAUUAUUAAUUAUGAAUGUAUAAAAAAUCAAACAAUAUGUGUUGUAUGAAUGUUAAUGUAGAUUAUUACAAUCUAUUAAAUCUCAAAUAUAAAAACAAAAUCACAAAAAAAUUGAACAAUAGAGUUUAAAAAAUGAAAAAUCCGAAAUACAUAGAAGAGGGAAAUCUCAUAAACUACUUGGUGAAUAUGAAAACCUCACAAAAAAUGAAACAAUACUGUUUAAAUACGGAAAAUCCGAAAUACAAAAUACUUUAUAAUUAUGAAAACAAAAUCACAAGAAAUCUCACAAAAUACUUGUUGACUUCGAAUUUACCUUAAUCAAUGGUUGAAUUUUUAAAAAAAAUUAAUUGUGAGAUUUCUUAAACAAAGUGUAGGAAAUAGGAAGAGUUGAUUUUCUUGAAAAGGAAAAGAGAUAACAAAGGUGAAAAAGGGAAGAGAGAGAAAAGAACAAUUUGGGGUAAAACCUAGAAAGAGGGGAAAGUGGGUAAUGAGGGUGUUUUAUUUUUUAUUUUUUUACGGAUGAUGGAGUAAAAAAAGGGUAUUUGAGCCUGAUUUGAGAAAUAAAAGGAAAAUAAAUUAUUAUAUUAGGAUAUAAUUUAUUUUGUAAAAUAUUGACAUAUUGACAUUUUUAAUAAUUAUUUUAAAAUGUAGAUGUUUUUAAUAAUUAUGUUAGGGAAUGUGACUAGUUUGCUAAUUUUCCCUUAAAUCUAAGGAUAAUUGGUAAUAAAGGGGUACCACGUAAAUGAGAUAACAAACAUUUAUGCCGGUACCGUGUAAAUGAGAUAACGAGCAUUUAUAUGGAUACCAGAGUCAUGAAAUUGAUAGUACUCCUUGAGAUAACGUAAAUAUUGAGACUUUUGAAUUUUGUGAACUUGGUUACUUUUUGUGUGUUUAAUAUUUUCUUCAUGAGCUCAUAUAUGUUGCGAUGAGAUGAAUAUAUUUGAUUGAAAUGAGAUGCAUCAUCAUCUCCUAAUCAAUUGAUAUUAUAUUGUGCACAUGCAUGAAUAUAAGAUUGAAUAUGAGUAAGGCUUGAGCACGUCGAGAUAGUCCAUGUUGCAAUGGUUUUAUGUUUAUGAGUGGGGUACGUGGAGAUCGUUUGUGUCGAAGAUUGUUUGAUUUUGUGAUAGUACAUUGAGAUCAUCCGCACAAGCACGUAGAGACCGUCUGUGCUAGUAUAUGGACCUUUGCGAGUCCCUCAUCGGUCCCGAUUAUUUGACCGAGAAAGCGGCUGUGUAUAUAGGAUUUUGGCCAUUGUAUUGCAUUGCAUUUAGUAUUGAUUUGGUAUUGAGAUGAUUGUGGUAUUGAUUUGACUUGAUCUAAUACAACUUAGCCAAUAACCUGACUAUUAACUCCUGAAGCAUCAGAGCGUUGUUGGGAACCACAUGAGGUUGGGCUGGACCCCCCACCUCAGUCUGCUGCUCAAUAACAUUAUAAUGCCCAAAUACGGGCUAAGGAGUUCAAUGCUUCAACUAUUUCAGAGAAGCUAACGGAUCAUAGUUAGAGGCAAUGUACUUAUUUUAUUCAGAUAUUCAACUUAAAUAAAAUAUUCAUUAUACUUUAUCUUUCUAAUAUACCAAAUAUCAAAUACAUCAAAACAUACAUUUAUUUUUCUAAUUCUCUAAAAAAUUUCACCACAUUACAUAAACUUAAAGGAUGCUUUUCACUUUCAUGGGCCACUUACUCCUAUUUUUUCUUUAUCUCAACAUCGAGCAAAAAUCUAAUGGUAUAAUAUAAUUAUUAAAAGUCGAUAAAAAAUUAAAAACAAUAGAUACAAAAAUAUAUAGGAGGAAAAGAAGAAGAGAUUCGUCUUAUAUUUUAAAACGUGGCAAGAUUAUUUUUUUUUUAAAAAAAUGGUAAAGUUAUCUUCUUCUUUUUUUGUUGUUUAAAAUGAAAAUAUUUUCAGAUUUAAAAAGAUUUAAAUUUUCAGAUUAUAAAUUAACUUUGUUAAUUGAAUAUGAAUUAUGUUUUAGAAAACUCCAUCGUGCAUAAGUAUUCUUCUCCUUUAAACAGAUUUUAAGAUUUAAAUUGUUUUUAAUUUUUAAUUUCAGAUUUUAAAUUAAUUUUGUUGAUUACUUAGUUAAUAUUAUUUUUUGUUCCUUUUCUGAUUUUAAUUUAAGUAUUUCCUUACUAAAUUAUUUAUAUAAAUAUUUCUCCUAGUAUAUAUUUAAUUUUUUCCUUUCCUGACAUAGAAUUUGUGGCCUUGACAUCAACAUCCUUGUUUUAUCUUCUUCAUUGCUAAUAACACCCUAUUUUCAAUUCACUGAUAACCAUCCGAAACAUAACAUUUUAGAAUUUCAAAAUAUUUGUAAUAUAAAAAGUAAAUUUUUUUGUGAAAAGAAUUCUUUCAAAGUAGCAUAACUAAUUACCAUCAGACCAAUAAUUGUACCAGUAUUGUAUUCUUUGAUUGGAUAUUGACAAAUAUAGAAAAUCUCCUUCACUAAUGGAGGAAUGAUCCCUCCUUGGAUGUGUCUUAAUUUGAUAUAUAUAUAUAUACGAGAUCGAAUGUAAGAUAGUUAAAGAGAAAACUAACCAUAUAUAGAUAACCAUGAUAAUAAUAUAUUAUAUCAAAAAACUCAUAAUUUGAACUAUCAUAGAUUUUUUCAAUAUGAAAAAUAAAUUCACAAAACCUCAAGAAGACAACGAAAACAAAGUAAUUGUAUGCAUCCCAAAGUAUUUCUUGUUCUUCUUUCCCUGUUGAUUAAUUGAAAAAAAAAAAAUAGAACAGAAGGAGAAAGAAUUAGUGCUUGUUGAAAGUGGGUUUGAGUGUAGACGUAAUAAAGAAACGUGAGAGGAUUUUAAUGCUUGAAGUGGAGGUUAAUUUGUUUCCCUUAUUUUUCUCUUUUUGUUUAGUAAAAGUUCAUUUGCAGUUUUUAAAACAAAAAACAUUUUAAAGUUAUGCGGUUUUGUCAAUCAACUUAAUUUUUUAAUUAUAUUUUAAAACGGUAUGUAAAAAAAUCUGCAAUCAUUUUUAAAAAUACACAUACUAAAAAACUUAAAAAUAUUCUUUUUUUUUUCUUUCUAAUAGUUAAAUAUAUAUGAUAUAAUGUAUCUAUUAAAUUUUUCUUUGAUCAAACAAAAAGAUCUUGAGAUGCUUAACAACUACACUUUUUUUUUAGUUUAUUUUUUUUAAUUUAAGAAGUGUAAAAUUAGAUAACUGUCACAAUUCUUAAAAAGGUUAACAACCCACGUUUAUUUAUUUAUUUUUCCUUUCAAAACUGAAAACACUUUUAGAUUUUAUCAUUUAAAACUGUUGCCGAAAUUUAUUUAUUUAAAUAAAAAUAGAAAAAAUGAUACCGGGAAAAGAAUUUUAUGUGUGACUGUCAUUUGGAACAUUUCUGAAAAAAUAGUAAUAGUAUUAUUAUUAUUAUUAGUUAAGUUUGUAAUUUUUAUUUUUAUGUUAAUUUUAAAUUUGAAAUUAUUCCUUAAAAUUAUCCACUAAUUGAAUUGUUCCUUAAAACUAUCCUCUGACUAACGUGGAGCAGUUAUUUGUUUUUUUUUUUUAAAAAAAAAAUUAAAAUUAAUAAUCACACUCAUGUUCUGCAAUUUUUAUUUUUGGUUUUUCAGAUUUAGAUAGUUAAAGUUUUUAGUUAUUAUCUUAUAUAAAUUUUGAAAAUUAUAAAAUGAUUAUAUCACGUUAAUUUUAAGCAAUUCUUUAAUAAAUAAAUUUAAUAUUUUAAUUUCGAAUUUAAGAUAAUUACAAAAAGUUGAGUUUAUUAUUUAAUCCUAUUAGAUGUAAUUAGUAAUUUUAAUUAUUUAAAAAUCCUAUUUUUUGUGGUGCUGACAUGUGUCGUUCUAAGUCUAACUAUUGACAUAUGUCUAUAUUUAUUUAUUUAAUUAAUUAUUAUUGAUUAUUAAUUAUUUAAAAUACUGAAAAUUUGUGGUGUUGACAUGUGUUAUUUUUCUUCUCCUUUUAUAUAUAGAUAGAUUACUAACAUCUAUGGACUAUAAUCUUUAUUGGACUAUUAAGAAUUCUAACUUUCAGACAUGAAAUAAUAUAUUAAAAGAUAAUAACUAUGAAAAAGUAUAAGAAAUAUUUAAAAAUUAUAUCAAAGUAAAUAUCUUUACGUAUAAAAUAAAAUUUUAAAAUUAUAUAUAUAAUGUCAGGUUGGCUUGGUUUCGGGUUGGUUUUUUUUAGUUGAAAACAAACCAACCCAAAUAUAGUUGGAUUUUUUUUUUCCAACACCAAAUCAAGUCAAACCAAAUCACUAGUUGGGUUUUUUUUUCUAUUUGACUCGAUUUGUGGUUUGGUUCGAUUUUGUCCACCUCUAAUUUGAAUAAAUUUUAUUAUUCAGAAGCAUUGUGGAAGGGCAAAUUCACAAUUUGGCAUUUGGGCUUCGGUUUGAGGCAACUAAUUAAAGAUUACAGAUCCUUUGAAGUGUUAGUUUUGUGAGUUAAAUGAAUCUAAGGAUAAUUGGUAAUAAAGGGGUACCACGUAAAUGAGAUAACAAACAUUUAUGCCGAUACCGUGUAAAUGAGAUAAUGAGCAUUUAUAUGGAUACCAGAGUCAUGAAAUUGAUAGUACACCUUGAGUUGUGAGAUAACGGAAAUAUUGAGACUUUUGAAUUUGGUGAACUUGAUUACUUUUUGUGUGUUUAUAUUUUCUUCAUGAGCUCAUAUAUGUUGCGAUGCGAUGAAUAUAUUUGAUUGAAAUGAGAUGCAUCAUCUCCUAAUCAGUUGAUAUUAUAUUAUGCACAUGCAUGAAUAUAAGAUUGCAUAUGAGUAAGGCUUGAGCACGUCGAGAUAGUCCAUGUUGCAAUGGUUUUAUGUUUAUGAGUGGGGCACGUGCAUGGAGAUUGUUUGUGCCGGAGAUUGUUUGAUUUUGUGAUAGUACAUUGAGAUUAUCCACACAAGCACGUAUGGACCAUCUAUGCUGGUAUAUGGACCUUUGCGAGUCCCCUAUGGGUCCCGAUUAUCUGAUCGAGAAAGUUGAUGUGUAUAUAGGAUUUUGGCCAUUGUAUGGCAUUGCAUUUAGUAUUGAUUUGGUAUUGAGUUGUUGAGAUGGUUGUGGUACUGAUUUGACUUGAUCUAAUCCAAUCUAGCCAAUAACCUGACUAUUAACUCCUGAAGCAUCGGAGCGUUGUUGGGAACCAUAUGAGGUUGGGUUGGACCCCCUACCUCAGUCUACUGCUCAAUAACAUUAUCAUGCUCAAAUACGGGCUAAGGAGUUCAAUGAUAUCCAUAUUGAUAGGAUUGAAAUCGAGGGAAAAUAAUUCAAAAAUCGCUUCGGAAAUAAAAAGGGUAAAAUUAGAAUUUUAGUUGAAAAUCAAGUUCUACAAGCCAAAAGGAGUUCGUGGUUGAAAAACUCAUUUAAAACAAGCAAGAAUCGAGCUCUAAUAAAAAAAUUUACUACUUUUUCAACUUUAGGAGAAAAAACCCAAAACUCACAUUUGAAAUGCAAUCAAAAAUGAGAAAUUUCAGGAAAACUUUGUCAAAAUCAGUUUACCCACAAUACAAGGACCUUAGAUCUCGAAAAUCAAUUAAAACUCAUUCCAAAUCGACCUCCAAAUCAACAAUUUUGGAUUUCUCUACUUUGGGGUUUAAAAUCUCAACUUAAUGGAUAGAAAUCAUGAAAUAUGACAGAAGUCAAUUUCCUGAAAAAUGACUUUCAGGUUUCAGUUCUAGAGUGAGAAGUAUUUUUUGCAUCCCGUGUUUACACCAGAACAAAACAUUUAACCUUGGCAGUUAAAAAUUAUACUGAAAAAACUAAUAAUAAUGUGAAUGAGAGUCACUUGUGUGUUGCAUUUAUUGAUUUGGUGCAAACAUCCGAUACAGAAACCUAAUAUACAAAUUAUAAAGAAAGAAAAUCAUGACAGUUACCUCCCUGUAACAAGUUCUUUUAAAGUAUAUUUACAGAAUCCAUAACCUAUUGAUUACACAUAUACACAAGGCAAUACAGAUUGUGAUGCUAACUGGCUUGACAGUUCAUAUUUGGAUCAUCAACUGUGUUAAAGUACAAUGUAGAAAGUUUGUCAUCAAAUUUGGAAAUUAGUUGAUGGACAGACAAUCCGCAGUACCGCUUCCCUAGUCUAGCGAUGAAAAUGUCAAUUAUUUUCUUGAACAUGUCGUCUUCUUGGAUUAGAGGUUGCUCCACAAACUCAACUAGAGGCAUCCACUGCAUUGCAAAAAGAAAAGGUAGCUCAAGUAAAUGCUAAGUCGCAUAAAGCUGCAGACUUUAAGUCUAACUCAACCUCAAACGCUAGCUCAUCAGGUGAGUAUUACACAUUACGAUAUGCUUACCUUAGCAUCCUGAAUUUCUAGAUCAUCAACCAUGAUCUGUUUUGACAGGGGUCUUAACAGGCAGACGAAGAACAAAUCUGACUUUUGAAAGGCCACAUCGUGAACAUGCCUGAAGAAGGACAUCGAUAAAUGUUAAUUUAAAUAGGCAAAAUACAUAUAUUGGACCCUAAACUUGGCUUCAAAUUUUAACUUUGACCUCCAACUUUCAUAGUGCACAAAUAGACACUUUAACUUGUAUAAAAUAGAACAAAUAGACACACAUGUCCUACAUGGCAUCCUACAUGUCAUUUUUUGUCCUACGUGGUGUCCUACGUGUAUUGUGCCAUGUAGGACUCGUGUGUUUACUUGUUCUACUUUAUACAAGUUAAAGUGCCUAUUUGUGCACUAUGAAAGUUGGAGGUCAAAGUUAAAAUUUGAAGCCAAGUUUAGGGUCCAAUAUAUGUAUCUUGUUUGUAAACUGUAAAAUCAACAAUUAGAGUCCAAAGUUUAACGACUGUGUACAUAGCAUGAGUUAGAGCAUGAAACUGAAUAAAACUUGAAAUAUCCUAAAGAUGACAGUAAAAUCAAGAAAAUAGAAACUCUACAUUCUCUGUGUCUGAGCCAAGUUACUCGGAUACUUAUGGUAUCAGCAUUUUGUGUUCUUAUACGAUUUCUAAUAUAGCUCUUCCUAUCGAUAAAAAAGGUGUAAAAUAAAUCGCUGUCCAUUAUGAUAAACUCAUGGUUCUUUGAAGAGGGAGAAUUUUUUUACCUGAAAGCCAUAACCUCCACAAAUUCAGUAUCAAUCUGGAAAAAGUAAUGCGAACAAAAAAACAUCGUUUAGAUAACGAUUGGUCGUUAUGUGUUGCUAAUUUAGGAAGGCGAUACGUUUAAGUGAAAAUUGCUUACGCCAGUUUCCUCCUGCACUUCUCUCACAAUUCCUGUAAAGAGCUCCUCGGACUGAGUUUGACGCAAAAACUAAACUAAGUAUACAGUUCAAUCUUUAACUAAAUCAAAAGAACCAAAAUGGUAAGGUGAAAUUGCAAUAGAGGAACAUACCUCAUGAAUAAAACCAGUUGGUAUUUUCCAUAAGCCUGAAAGAGCCGGCGUAAAAUGUUUCUCUUGCACGACAAGCACCUAAAGCAAGAAUUUAUUAGCCUAAGAGACUACACAAAGAAUUUAGAAGCUCACAAACAUUACUACUAAUUAGGAAGGCAUUGCAAACAGAAAAACACACACCUCAUUUUUAUCGUUGAUCACAAAACCCCCAACUCCAACUUGAUGUGAUGCAUUCGAAGGAAGCAUACAGGGUUCCUCCGGAAUCCAGUAAGUCAUCAUAACAUAUCCUCUUUCUGCAUGAUGGUAUUGAAAUCCUUCCUACAAAAUUUGAGUUCGAUUGUUACAAAAUCACUAGAGCUGUAUAUUAUUGUGUAUUAAGAUACCAUAGUUAGCUUAUUCUCUCCAUGAGACAGUCACUACUAGCCAGAGAUAACAAAGAAAAGUUAAACGAUUGAGUAAUUUCCUGUAUCGAUUUGGGUAAAGUGAUAGUACGAAAUACCUUUACUACAAUGCAUCAACAAAAAGGAAAUACCUUUACUGCAACAGGAACUAGAUCACAUUUUUCCAAUGGUAGCUUAAGCCAAACUCCCUUCUUCCCCUGCAUCAUCGGGAGCCAUCAGUGAGCAAAAGGUGUUAUAAAAGUUUACUUUCAAUACACCAAAAAUUACCACGCCUCAGUCCUAAACAAAUUGGGGUUCCAUCUAUAUGAAUUCACCAGGCUAUGAAAAGUACAAGUUCACUUGUCUAUAAAAUAAUAAGAAAAAAUAUGAAAUGCGGUGGCUUUCACUCGUGUAUUAAUCAACACCAGACAAGAAAUCGAGUCUUGAAAUUUGAGACUAGUGUAGUAUAGUAGUUGCUGGAAAUGAAGUACCUUCACUUUCCAAUGAGAGAGAGAUGCACGAAGCACAAAGGUAAAUUUGUCGGGAUCAGAUGGUAGUCUAUCUGCAUUGACGAGUACUCCUCCAUAUUCAUCGUCAGAGGCAUCAAGCAACCAUUUAUCUCUAAAAUACAAACUUGUAUGGUUUGUACCGUUUAUCUUAUAAGAGAAAGUGUCCUCUAAGAAAUUCUUCUUGCUGACUGAUCUUGUAACAUCAUAAGAAGUGCUUGAAUAAGAAGCCUUUGUUAAC